This 478-nucleotide ribosomal RNA is filed under the name uncultured bacterium. RNAcentral's name for it is "bacterial SSU rRNA". It matches the Rfam family "Bacterial small subunit ribosomal RNA", at positions 47 to 512 of the family's 1533-position model. The record is from RNAcentral.
CCUAACACAUGCAAGUCGAGCGGCAGCGGGAAAGUAGCUUGCUACUUUUGCCGGCGAGCGGCGGACGGGUGAGUAAUGCCUGGGAAAUUGCCCAGUCGAGGGGGAUAACAGUUGGAAACGACUGCUAAUACCGCAUACGCCCUACGGGGGAAAGCAGGGGACCUUCGGGCCUUGCGCGAUUGGAUAUGCCCAGGUGGGAUUAGCUAGUUGGUGAGGUAAUGGCUCACCAAGGCGACGAUCCCUAGCUGGUCUGAGAGGAUGAUCAGCCACACUGGAACUGAGACACGGUCCAGACUCCUACGGGAGGCAGCAGUGGGGAAUAUUGCACAAUGGGGGAAACCCUGAUGCAGCCAUGCCGCGUGUGUGAAGAAGGCCUUCGGGUUGUAAAGCACUUUCAGCGAGGAGGAAAGGUCAGUAGCUAAUAUCUGCUGGCUGUGACGUUACUCGCAGAAGAAGCACCGGCUAACUCCGUGCCAGC